UCGGCACCCGUAUUAUCGUUGUUGGCCCCGCCGCGCACGCGCGGCGCAGGCUGCCCGGAGCGCAGAUUCCGAUGGCCGCCGUCCACCUCCGCCCUCUCCACUCGCUGGCUCUCCCUCCCCCGCUCCCUCUCCCUCUCCUCGCAGCCAAGGCCACAGCAAAUCCCGGCUGCGCGGUGAGAAGAAGCCGCCACCGCCACCGCCACCGCGGCGGUGGCCUCGCCCUGCUCGUCUGCGCCGCUUCCGGGUCCGGCCCCAGCAAGGCCGCGCGUUCGUCGUCAGCGGGGCAGGGCGAGGCGGGGGAUGCGGUCGCCAGGUGGGCGGCGUGGAUCCCGCGUGCCGCGAUGUUAGGGGCCGGCCCGGAGCAGGUCCUCAGGCUCAUCUCCGGCGCCGCGGCCACGCCCAUCUGCCAGUUCGUGGACUCGCCCCGCACCUUCCUGCACUCCAUCGACCCCCGCGUUAAGCUGGUUUGGCUAUUGGCUCUUGUUGUCCUACCAGCCAGAUCAAAUAUUUACAUGCGGUUUGGUUUAGUAGCGUACCUUACUCUCCUUUCCAUGUGGGUUCUCCCAAACCAAGUUUGGAAGGACCAACUUGGAAGGGUCGCUCUACUUUCAGGCAUCAUAUUCAUAAUGCUGGGAUUUGGUUCUGAUGGUGCUCCUUCAUUAGUCCAGACAAGAACUCCUCCCCCAUCUGUUAUAGGUUUGCCGAACAUUCCUGGCUCCACAAGUGGCUAUUCUUACACAAUUAUGAAACUGGGUCCACUGCAAUUUACAAGGAAAGGCUUAUCUGUAGCUAGUACGUCAGCAUGCCUCUCAUUUUCGAUAUUCCAAAGUGCAAGUCUCUGCUUGACAACAACUACUCCUGAGCAGCUUGCUUCUGCUUUGUGGUGGUUUAUGAUUCCACUGAAGCAUAUUGGUGUACCAGUACCUGAGAUAAUACUUACACUGCUACUAUCUUUGAGGUUCAUUAACCUAGUAUUUGAUGAGGUUCGCAAUUCAGCACUGGCGAUUGUAGCACGUCGGAUAAAUUGGAAAAAGCUCGCAACUAUGGAGACUAUUGAUAUUUUCUUCAACUAUGUCCGGCGAAUUUUCAAAAACAUAUUUGAUCAUGCAGAGCAAAUAUCCAAGGCCAUGAUUGCUCGGGGAUUUCGUGGUGACCCUAACAACCACAAGAUCUACUUUCUUACAGAAUCUUCUUUCGGCAUUGUGGAUGUCUUUUCAUUACUUUGCCUAUUUGCUUUAAUGGCUCUCGCUUCUAUUUCAGAUAAAUUGGUUUGAUGACCCACUGGAGAAACAUUAAUUGGAAAUGGACCCUAGCUCGGUGUCGUUGAUGAUGGCGUGGAGGUCCUAUUGCCCAACACCAAAAAGUGUGGCGUUGACCUAGGUUCACCUAGUCAACAAACGAGGAGGUGGAUGCUGACAUGGCAGGGGGGUUGGCGUCAGCCUACACGACGUUGAGCUAGUACUUAGCCCUUUUAUUGCCCUUGCUCGGAAGGAAGACUUAAGUUUUUAAUCUCCUGGAAGACUGUUAUGUUUUUAAUCUCCUGGUUCUAACUUCUAUGCAGGCGAGUUAGGCGCAAUGUCAUGUGCUGGAUGUUAUGCGAGUGCAUUGAGCGUUAGUGCACAAUCAAAGUAUUCAUUGUCCUCAUUAGGGAGGUGCUGUAAAGAACAAGAUGGAAUGAAGAGUUCAUGCUAACGUGAAAAGAUAGGUUUACUACCUUUCGUAGCCUUUUCUUUUCUUCGUUUUAUUUUUUUUGGAGGAUGCAUUUCAGAGCAUUGAACGUGUAAAUAAUUGCAAGGCAGUGUACUAAAUUGUACAAUCCGAAAAAAGUCAGCUUGAUUGGUUAAAUGCCUGCUUUGAAUCCCAUAAUACAGGCUCCAUAUUUGAACACUAGAAUUCAUCAUAAUAUUCCUUUU
RNA transcript from Oryza brachyantha (malo sina), 1913 nucleotides. It is a transcript of the gene named protein ABCI12, chloroplastic, with no coding region annotated. Lineage: Eukaryota; Viridiplantae; Streptophyta; Magnoliopsida; Poales; Poaceae. The transcript is spliced from 10 exons. The record is from RefSeq and is a predicted model, not a curated record.